Urocitellus parryii (Arctic ground squirrel) is the source of this 957-nucleotide long non-coding RNA. RefSeq lists it as uncharacterized. The record is from RefSeq and is a predicted model, not a curated record. NCBI's taxonomy places the organism in Eukaryota, Metazoa, Chordata, Mammalia, Rodentia, Sciuridae.
CGCGUCAGCUGGGGCCGCCGUCUGGACGCUUAAAGGGCCAGGCCGUCCUGCGCUCCAGCGGGGGGCGCGGACGCGCGUGGUGGGUGCCGUCCCGCGCAGCCCCCUCUGCCUCCGCCGCCGGCCCCCAACUAGCCCCCCCCCCGUUCCUAUUCGAGCAGCUUGACCCCGGCUCACCCUCCCGCGCCGAGCACCCCUUGUGCCGGGAAGUUCGUCCCGGAAUCUAACCUCGAUGCCCUCCAGCUGCACCACGGAGGCGGGGCCAGGGUAGGAGGCUGCCUAGAAAUCGGGAAGCUGGGCGCGCCUGGCCCCCAACUCGCCGCUGAAAAGACUUCCACCUGCUCCCCCAGAGCGAUCCUACGCGGAGGGACCGAGCCCCGCACCCCAGCCUCGCUUGCCACCCCCAUCCUGUGGCCUGGGCUACUGACUUGGGGCCUGAAAUAAUGCAGACCGUGGGCAGUAUGAUGACUGCUUUCCUGAUUGAGCCAGCAAAGAAGCAAUGUAUGAAUUAAGAACCCCAGAGCCACACUGCCUUAUGCUCCUGGUUACCAUUGGUGGUCUGUAGGCUCUCAAUCUCUGCAUUUCCUCUUUCCAGUGAGGAGGAGUUUCACUGCUGUCAUCAUUAUCUGACUCAGAACAGGAUCUUGAUCUUGGAGGUGUGUGAUAGCGCUUUAAACAAAAGAAGAGAAACUAUUUUUAAAAUGCCUCUCAAUUACAAUCUGCUAUAGGACAGAGACAUGUAAAAGAUCCAAUCUUAGAUUACUUCAAAGGCAAUCAUAUGAUUCAGAAGAUGAAGAGGAACUGGAAGAGGAAUCCGAGUCUUCUGAAUGUGUUGGUUUCUUCCUUUUUUUCUCAAAAACUUUUAAUAAAUAUUAACAAAAAUAUUAGUAAUGAAUUCCUGUCUACCUUUAAGAGUAAAAAAUGUGAUUAUGUAAAAUUAUGAUAGUUUAUAAUAAAUCA